This 31-nucleotide non-coding RNA is filed under the name Rattus norvegicus (Norway rat). The record is from RNAcentral. Lineage: Eukaryota; Metazoa; Chordata; Mammalia; Rodentia; Muridae.
UGACAAAUGGACCAGCACAGGGUCAAUGGUC